This is a long non-coding RNA of Anas platyrhynchos (mallard), 1092 nucleotides long. RefSeq lists it as uncharacterized. Lineage: Eukaryota; Metazoa; Chordata; Aves; Anseriformes; Anatidae. The record is from RefSeq and is a predicted model, not a curated record.
UUCUUACUUUUUUUUUAUGGUUCUCCCAGGGUCCGAGGUCCUCACCUAUUUCUAGGACACAGACAUUUAGAUGGAUACGGACAGCAGCAGCAGAUGUACUGGCUGGGAUAAAAGGACUAUCAAACCUCUUGCUCCGGGCAUAUGCUGAUCACCAGCUGCGGUCAGGAAGAAAUGGCUCCCAGGGUACACAGCCCCGUGCAAUUACCACAGGUGCAUUACAAGGCAGCUUUACACCUUCAUUGAAAUAUCUUGCAUCGUUACUGACUGGAGAGGGGCCCAUUUGUAUGUUCCAGCAUAGCAGUUUUAUGUCCUGAUGAUAUAGCACCUUAUCAGAGAAUUGUUAUCGGGUUGUCAUCAUGUUAUUGUGUCUCCAAAUGGGAAGGUGGCUAAACACAGGCGCACUCAAGAGAAGCUGAGUAAAUAGUACGCUUUGUAAAUUCCCUGAGCACACACUUCCACAAUUGAUUUUAUAAGAGGGCUUCUAGGAAGCUUUUUACAGCCUCCUGGGUAUGUAUGACUGAAAGACAGAGCCCCGCACGGAGCACGUGGACUGGCUUCUUUUCUCAGUCAAUUAAACAUGUGUAAGGACUCGGAAACAUGUGACUAUUAUGAGGUAUAUUUCCCCCGGGAAAUUAAGGCAAGGAAAUCAAAGGUUUGGGAGUGUGAAUCUGCAUGGCAAGUGAGCUUGGUGCUUGCACAAAUGCAGGGCUCAGGCCAUGACAGCAGAGGAGAAGUCGGGCAGACUCUUGGCAGUCUCCAAUAUCACCUUUCCCAUGUUCUUCCCCAGGACAGAGAUCCAAGGGCAGUGGGCAGGAGCCCAUCCAGCUCCUACCCAGCAUCUUCAGACCCACACCUGGUCCCUAUGCUCCCUGCCAUCCUCUCUCUGCUCUUCCAGCAGUGGUCCCAGGGCAGUGGGAAUCCUCCUGGCACCACUGUCCUGCACAGCCACAAGUCUCCAGCCCACUCAUUACCAAGCCCUCUGCUCUGCCUCGUGCUAUUCACCCUUUGGCAAGCAUCUCAAGUUCCUCUCCUUUGGGAAAAAAAGUAAAAUAAUAAUAAUAAAAAAAUCAAUGUCCCUGAGUUGGAGCCAAA